GCUGAUGGCUCGCAUUAGGUGCUUAGGAGCCAAUAGUGAUAUGUGUUGCUCGGGUGAGCAUGUCGUGGGAGACAACGGUUGCGGGUAUAGCUUGAGGAUGAUCCAUGCCCGGACCAUUCGUGGACUAUGGAACCUGGGUCCCUAUGAACAGGCGCAGUCAGCUGUGGGUGGCAGCGGCCCGGGGUAGGGCAGAGAUUUGGUCAGGACGGUAGUCCGAGCUUAGACCCGAAAGCGUGGAAUGCCACGUGUUAGAUCGUGUAAUCAUGGAUGCACUAAGAGUGCAAUGGUGACCCAACCCGAGGAUUUAGAGUGGUUUGGGGUCUUGAUUGCUCCUGGUUGGAGUAUGUGCGAAUUCCCAAAUGAGAAGUUCGCCUGGUUAUGAUGGGGUCUGCGCUUGCGAGCGAGAGACGCUACGUGUUGAGAUAGGUUUAGGCGGUAGACCUGCGUAGAAUUGGUGAACUGUGGUUCGUCUAUGAGAUUGAGAUAAACGGUAGGCGAGUAGCCUUGUCGACGAGUUUAGGCUUGGAUUCACGAACAGGAGUUCGUGUGAGGUUAUAACAAGAGUGGUUCUUCCCACGGUGGUAAUGCACUUUUGGAGUUACACUUAGCAAAUGUGAGUGAAUUUGGUCUCACAUCCUCCGUAGUGGGCCUUGGAUGAUUUCAAUGAAUGAAAGCCCACUCUAAGAAGGAAAAGUGCAUUGGAAUCCCCGAUUGCUCGAUAAAUCGAGUUGGAAUGUGAUUGGGGUUGAAAUUUGGUUAGUUUCGAGGACGAAACUCUUUUUAAGAAGGAGAGGAUGUAAGGUACCGAACUUCUAAAAUUAUGAAGUUACGGCGGAUGUAGUAUGCUGGAUUUUUAAUAUAAAAAUAAAUAUAAAUAAAAAUAGUGUGAGAUACUAUUUUUAUUGGAUUUAAGGGUGUAAAGUAUAAGUUGGAAAUGACCUGUGCUGAAAUCGGGGCGAAAACAAAAGAUUUAGAAUUUUCUGUGACAGACGGGGCAGAUAAAUUAGCAGAAAAUGCAGAGUGUCAGAAAAUUAUGAAAACUGGAGGAUAUGUCAGAAUUAUUUUUAUAAGGCUAGAUUUAAAGUUUCAUACCAUUCUGACACCCGGAAAAUGGAAAAUAAAAUCCGACUGCUAUCUGAUAAAGAUUACAGUUCGGUACAGCUUUCGGUGACAAACAUAGUCGAAACUGAAAGAUUAAAAUUUACAGGUACACACGAGAGCGGACCGGCAGGUGAUCGCGGUAAGGGCGUAGCGCCCUAGCUAGCUAGUUGUGGCUUUCCUUUUGUACUAGAGUACCCUCGUGUACAUAGGUGACAUGGUUGUGUUUUGGAGAGUACAUUGUACCUAGAUGCAUGUGAGUGGAAUAUGUAUUCAUUUUGGGUGAUGAUGAAAAUGUAAAUGUAAUCAAAGAUGUAAAAGUGGAAUGUGAUGUAAUAGCUAGAUGUAUCUCUCUUUAUGCACUUGUAUGUAUACUUGUGUUACUUGCUCUUGUUGUAUUGCACUCUUUGUGCUUCUCUCCUUGUUGGAUCAUGUAUGUAUUGAAUUAUCCCUGGGCAAAUUCUUUGUACAUGAUCCUGUGUUGAGCCUUGGGCGGAUAGGGGAGGUGCUGUCCGUUCGGCGUCCGUCCGGCGCGCCUGAACCGGACCAAAUUGGUAGCGGUCUCGGGGCGGGGCGUGACAGGUAUGGUAUCAGAGCAAGUUAAGUGCAAGUAAAUAGAGAGAGUCUAGGAUUGACCUAGAGGACCUUAGGUUGGGAAACCGUAAGGUUAUAGGUGCGUGAGUGGAACGUGGACCUAUACGGUGGCGGGAGUUGAUCGAUUGGGUCGAAGUGAUUGUAUGUCUCUAGUCGUGGCUAGAGAUGGAUUCAAGUGGUAUGAGUUCUUGGCUCGAAGUGGUAGUGUUGGGCGGCCGACAACACGACGCCGAGAGUCUAGAAUUAGUACACUUACGUGCUUCCGCCUAGUUUGCGACGUUGAGUCGCGUAGUUGUGAUCGCGAGCGAGUUGGUGGGUUAAGUUAAUUAACCCGGUUGUUGCGUUGCAGGAACUAAUGUCCCCAAGACACUACACUCGCAGAUCUAUUCCGGCACCGUCUUCGGAGGCGCCAGAGCUUGCUGGACCUCCCGAGGUGCCAGAGUCAGCUGGGCCUAGUGAGGUGCAGGAGUUACGGGCGCAAGUGACCGCAUUGACCAAUGUGGUGCAGUGCCAGGAGACCUGAUUCGAGCGGCUCCAAGAGCUCUUGGAGCGGCAAAUGGCAGUGGUGGCUGCGAUGGCGACCGGAGGUUGUGACCCGCCCGCACCCCCGGUGCACGUGCCUGAUGUGGCUGAGGGUGAGGGUAUAGCGGCGAUUCCGGUGGCGGCACGUCCCUCGCCGGCAAUUGUUCCUCCGGCAGCGUCGGGAUCGGCGACACCCGAUGCGGCGGCCGAGGAGAUGGAGCGAGAGCGUUCGUUGACGGCUCUUAUCAGAUUCAAGAAGUUCAACCCACCAAUCUUUGAAGGGGAGAAAGUGGAGCCGUCGAUGGUGGAGUCAUGGAUUGACUCAAUGGAGAUACUUUUUUAGGAUCUCUAUACCUCGGAGAAAGACAGGGUGUAUCUCGCCACCCAUUGCCUUGGGAAAGCAGCGAAGGUGUGGUGGAAAUAGGUGAAGCGAGAUCGGCCUUCUGACCUUCCACAUAUGUUAUGGGAGGAGUUUAAGAGGGCGAUGUUCGCCAACUAUUUUUUCGACACGAUGAAGCGAAAACUGCAGGAGAAGUUUCGCAAGUUGAGGCAGGGGGAUCGCUCGGUAGCGGACUACGAGCAAGAGUUCUCCCACAUCAUAGAUUGUGUCCCGGAGGUUGUUCGAGAUGACCGGGACCGGGCCGACUGGUUCUUGCGAGGACUUCGGCCGGGGAUUUAUAAGGCCGUGCAAAUAUUCAAGCUCACUACCUUUGCUGAGGUUUUUGAUUGAGCAUUGUGGGCGGAGCAUGGCGAUGCCCACGUGCGAGAAGAACGAGAGGCGUCCGAGAAGGAUAAGGCGAAGAAACGGCCUGGCGGUAGCUCGGGGGGACAGUCAAGUUCUAAGAAGCCCCCGAAGUACCCGAGGAGGCAGUUUGAGAGCCAGGGACCUAUGCGAUGUGUGAUUUGCGGUGGGAGCAUCGCGUAGGAAACUGUGAGCAUAGGGCGGGACGAUGCUUCAGGUGUGGUCAGGCGGGGCAUAUUAGCCGUCAGUGCCUAGAAGGAUCGUCGCCUGCACCGUCUAUUGCAUCCGCCCCAGUGACUCCGGGGCAGUCGGGUGGAGUUCCGCCUGCUACAGUAUCGACGGGACGUGGGAUGGCGCCGCAACGGCUUGAGGCGACCCGGUCGGCUCCGAGUAGUCGAGUGUUUGCCGCUCAAGCGGAGCGACCUACUGGGGUAGAGGAGUGUGACACCAUGCCAGGUAUGAUUUAAUUAAAGUAAUCAUACGCUUCUGCAUGAUGUAGACUUAAGAAAUUACAUGCAUUUACCUUGUGGUCGUUCGCUACUAUUUGUGCAUUGGUAUUGUAGGGACCAAGUGAACGGGUUGGUGUAGAUUCCCGAGCAUGCUUAUGUGGUGAGAGUGUAGCGCCUGCUGGAGCAAGUAGAGAGCUAGAUAGCACUAGCAAAAUGCUGGUGAUGAUUGUUGGACGAAACGUGAGACUCGUGGUAGAGCGAUUGUUUAGUGUUCGAGCAUGAGCACGUGGGCCUAGUAGUACCUCGAAGUGAGGUGGGUGAGUCGUGCUCGUGUGGCCGGUGCGCAUAGGCAGGGUUGCCUAAUGUCGGAAUUAGUGUACGGCGCGUAGAGCGCUCGAGUAUAGGUACUCGUGAAGUACGGUGUUGACUCAGCCGGGAGAGUGUGUAGGCAGUAGCACUGUAGCAUUACUAAGUGUGAAGCGCGCCUGGGAUCACUCGUGGGGCUGAUGGCUCGCAUUAGGUGCUUAUGAGCCAAUAGUGAUAUAUGUUGCUCGGGUGAGCAUGUCGUGGGGGACGACGGUUGCGGGUAUAGCUUGAGGAUGAUCCGUGCCUGGACCAUUCGUGGACUGUGGAACCUGGGUCCCUAUGAACAGGCGCAGUCAGCUGUGGGUGGCAGCGGCCCGGGGUAGGGCAGAGAUUUGGUCAGGACGGUAGUCCGAGCUUAGACCCGAGAGCGUGGAAUGCCAUGUGUUAGAUCGUGUGAUCAUGGAUGCACUAAGAGUGCAAUGGUGAC
Molecule: long non-coding RNA, 4198 nt
Filed under: Ananas comosus (pineapple)
Lineage: Eukaryota; Viridiplantae; Streptophyta; Magnoliopsida; Poales; Bromeliaceae
Description: long non-coding RNA (ACOM_LNC022327)
Source: RNAcentral